This 252-nucleotide ribosomal RNA is filed under the name uncultured bacterium. RNAcentral's name for it is "partial 16S ribosomal RNA". It matches the Rfam family "Bacterial small subunit ribosomal RNA", at positions 524 to 776 of the family's 1533-position model. The record is from RNAcentral.
UACGGAGGAUGCGAGCGUUAUCCGGAUUUAUUGGGUUUAAAGGGUGCGUAGGCGGGCUUUUAAGUCAGCGGUAAAAAUUCGGGGCUCAACCCCGUCCGGCCGUUGAAACUGGGGGUCUUGAGUGGGCGAGAAGAAGGCGGAAUGCGUGGUGUAGCGGUGAAAUGCAUAGAAAUCACGCAGAACCCCGAUUGCGAAGGCAGCCUUCCGGCGCCCUACUGACGCUGAGGCACGAAAGUGCGGGGAUCGAACAGG